This 459-nucleotide ribosomal RNA is filed under the name uncultured bacterium. RNAcentral describes it as "bacterial SSU rRNA". It matches the Rfam family "Bacterial small subunit ribosomal RNA", at positions 36 to 518 of the family's 1533-position model. The record is from RNAcentral.
CUGGCGGCGUGCUUCAUACAUGCAAGUCGAACGAGAAUCUUAUCGGUAAGAGGAAAGUGGCGGACGGGUGAGUAAUAUGUAGAGAAUCUGCCCUUAAGCGGGGACAACAGUUGGAAACGACUGCUAAUACCCCAUAUGAGCGUACCUGAAAUGGUAUUCUUGAAAACUCCGGUGCUUAAGGAUGAGUCUGCAUCUGAUUAGCUAGUUGGGGGUGUAAUGGACCACCAAGGCGACGAUCAGUAGCUGGUUUGAGAGGAUGAUCAGCCACAAUGGGACUGAGACACGGCCCAUACUCCUACGGGAGGCAGCAGUAGGGAAUUUUGCGCAAUGGGCGAAAGCCUGAACCGCAGCAACGCCGCGUGAACGAGAAGCCCUUCGGGGUGUAAAGUUCUGUCAGUAGGGACGAACAAUGACUGUACCUACAGAGGAAGCACCGGCUAACUCCGUGCCAGCCGCAGC